This 473-nucleotide long non-coding RNA is filed under the name Rosa chinensis. RNAcentral's name for it is "sRNA RchiOBHm_Chr5g0007611". Lineage: Eukaryota; Viridiplantae; Streptophyta; Magnoliopsida; Rosales; Rosaceae. The record is from RNAcentral.
CUUCUCCAUCUAGAUAGCUAUCUCUUAAACAUAUGUGGGUAAGAAAUUUGAGUAUGCAUCGGUAGGGUGACCAUUAUGCAGGAAGCUAAAGUGAGUUUAAGAUCUAGCUAGCUAGUCCCGGAUCUAAAAUAUUUUCGGCAACAGGAUCUAAAAGUCUUUGAGAGCACGCUAUUUUAAGGUAUGUAUUUCGAAAGUUCUGGAACUUUAAGAACUGUUGCAUAUGUCGGAGUCCAAAGGCCUCUUAGAAAUACCAAUGAUAUACAGUCUGGCCCACGUUGAUCUCUAAAGGAAGAAUUGAAAGUGUACUGCAAGUACGUACUAUCUCUUCAAGCUGUACUACAAUAUAGCAUAAUCAUGUACUGAAUAAGCUCGUUUUAUCUAUAAAACACUGAGAUUAAAAACAACCAGAAGAUCCUGCUAACAGUUUUCUUUGCUUUGAGUGCACUUAAUAUCGCAUUCUUGGAUGACUUGAU